RNAcentral lists this long non-coding RNA (1200 nucleotides) under Sus scrofa (pig). Its description in RNAcentral is "lncRNA (ENSSSCG00040014325.1)". Lineage: Eukaryota; Metazoa; Chordata; Mammalia; Artiodactyla; Suidae. The record is from RNAcentral.
UUUUUUUUUUUUUUUUUUUUUUUUUGUCUUUUUAGGGCCGCACCUGCGGCAUACGGAAGUUCCCAGACUAUGGGUCGAAUUGGAGCUUCAGCUGCUGACCUACCUCACAGCCACAGCAAUGCAGGAUCCAAGCCACGUCUACAACCUACAGCACAGUUCACACCAAUGCCAGAUCCUUAACCCAUUGAGGGAGGCCAGGGAUUGAACCCAAGUCCUCAUGGAUACUAGAUAGGCUCAUUAGCACUGCGCCACAACGGGAACUCUGCAAUAGGUAUUUCCACCUCAUAGCAGGAAAUGGCAGGAUACUGCGUAAUAGUGUCAUGUGUUUCCACCAGAUGAAGGCCUCAGUGUGUAAAAGUUGCAAGGUAAUGUUCCUUCUUCCUCAGAAAUUUAGCCGUAAGUCUAAAAUAUCAACUGCCUAGACCAGCCCUUCCAGAGAUGACCAGAUGGUCUUCCACUGUCUAGGUAAACAUGUUUCCAUCAUUCCCCCUUCCUGUCCACAAAUUCUCGAAGGAAGAGAGAAGAACCCAAUGUAAAUAAGCAUCUUCUUCAUUCAUCUUGCAGAGAUGGGGAGGCAGCAGGCCAAUUUAAUGGUAAAGAACUAGGUUGUAAAUCUGCCAUUGCUAAUAGAGAUGUGUAUGAGGUGCUAGAGAAAUCCAAGGAUGGAAAUAAAGGUCAAAAUUCAGCAAAGGAGUGAAUCAUGAAAGACUUUUAAUGCCAGGAUUUUUUUUUCUUUUUUUUAAGGGCCGUACCUCCAGCAUAUGGAAGUUCCCAGGCUAGGGGUCCAAUCAAUUGGAGCUGCAGCUGCUGGCCUACGCCACAGCCACAGCAAUGCCAGAUCUGAGCCACAUCUGCAACCUACGCUACAGCUUGCAGCAACUCUGAUCCUUAACCCACUGAACGAAGUCAGGGAUCAAACCUUCAUCCUUAUGGAUACUAGUCAGAUUCCUUUCCAUUGAGCCACAACAGUAACUUCAGGACUGGGUUGUUGUGUCUUGCUUUGUGUUGUUUUGUUUUUUAACUGCAAAAUUUAUCUUAUUUUUUUACUUUACGGAAAAAUUUAGGUACUAGAAACCACAUGAUGUUUAACAUGUAUCAUUUGAUCAUUUUUGACAGAUAUACAUCUUCAGAGUCAUUACUGUAAUGAAAAUAAACAAACACAGCCAUGAUCCCCCCAGAGUUUCUUCACACCCCUUGUCC